RNAcentral lists this ribosomal RNA (271 nucleotides) under uncultured bacterium. Its description in RNAcentral is "partial 16S ribosomal RNA". It matches the Rfam family "Bacterial small subunit ribosomal RNA", at positions 524 to 794 of the family's 1533-position model. The record is from RNAcentral.
UACGUAGGGUGCGAGCGUUAAUCGGAAUUACUGGGCGUAAAGGGUGCGCAGGCGGUUCUGUAAGUCAGAUGUGAAAUCCCCGGGCUUAACCUGGGAACUGCGUUUGAAACUACGGAGCUGGAGUGUGGCAGAGGGAGGUAGAAUUCCACGUGUAGCGGUGAAAUGCGUAGAUAUGUGGAGGAAUACCGAUGGCGAAGGCAGCCUCCUGGGCCAACACUGACGCUCAUGCACGAAAGCGUGGGGAGCAAACAGGAUUAGAUACCCCAGUAGU